Long non-coding RNA from Cyprinus carpio (common carp), 1161 nucleotides. NCBI's taxonomy places the organism in Eukaryota, Metazoa, Chordata, Actinopteri, Cypriniformes, Cyprinidae. The record is from Ensembl.
UUUAUACAGUAUUUAAAAUAAAAGAUUCACCUACUGUAAAUAACUUUCUACAAAGGGUAAGAUGAGGACAACAGAUGGUGGUGAUUUCUUGAAAACAGGUCUUAACAAUAACUAAUGGCUACCUGUGGACAGAACGGUUUAAAAAAGGGCUGCACACUCUCUCUGCAUGUUUGGACGGGGUCUUGAGGAAGAGAACACACACAUAUGGUGUUGACCAUCACACUCUGCAGUGACAGACGGAGCAGACUCAUUACCGAACAAAACGACAGGCAGCGUGUCGGAGGGGAGGUUUCAGACAGAGGAGCAUGACUGCUGUACGGAGAGAAUACGCAGGAAAACAGAGAACGAUGGACAUCCCACCUGACCAGACUGGCUCUCCUGUACGGUUGACUCCACUGUGGUGGUCCUCUGCUCCGCCCUGGCGGGCUUCUGUCUCCUCUGCUCAGCUGUGUUGGUUCUCUGCUCCGCCCUGGUCAACUUCUGUCCCGUCUGCUCCGCCCUGGUGGGCUUCUAUCCCAUCUGCUCAGCGGUGGGGGCUCCUUGCUCCGCCCUGGUGGGCUCCAGUUCCGCCUGCUCCGCCCCGGUGGACUCCUGUUCCGUCGGCUCUGCCUUGGUCGCCAGCCAUUCCACUUCCACAUGGACCAGGCCCUCCAUCCCUCCCCCUGUUCCGCCUCCGCUCCACCGCCCUCCAAGACUGUAUAGAGCGUCUGGAAGCCGCUCCUUGUGGGGGGGCUAUGUCACGAUCUCUAGCUGGAGUGCCUGUGAGCUUCAGUAGAGGGCACUCCACUCAGGACUCAUUCAGAACUCCAUUUCCCAUCCUGCCUCACUCCUGGGACUGAUUGCACACACACCUGCACCUAAUUCCACACACACCUGCAGCUAAUACACACACACCCAUAUAAGCAGCACACUCACACCAUCACACUGCGAAGUCUUGUUCAGCCCGUCUAACAUUUCCGAGCGUUUUCCCUUUGUUUGUUCUUCCGUGUCUGACUUCUGGAUUGUGUAUUCUGACUCUGAUUCUCUGCUGCCUGCCCCGAUCUCUGCUUGUUUCUGGUUUCGAUUCUGGUUACCCCUGACAUACCUGACAACAUUCCUGAUUUCCACCUGUCUGACCACUCUGUUAAUAAAUACUGCAAUUGGAUCUGAACGUCUCUGACU